CUUCAAACAAAGACCGUCGCUUUCUGAAGAUCAAAACAAGCCAGGAAUCUAAGAAGAGAAGAUCAGAAGUGAGGAGGCAUUGCAAGUGGCCACUCAGGAAGCAUAGACAACCGCCGUUUAAACCGCUUACAAGGGCAUCACGAGUCGGAACAGAGCUCGAGCACCAUCAGUCCAUCACACCUGCAUACUCAUACACAAGACUCACCACCGUGGUAAAGAGACCCACCGGAACAUGCUGAGACUAAGGAAAGGGGAACCUAGCGCUUGUCGACACCGACUAGAACCGAGAGACACCAACCCGAGUUGAUUGACAUCCUAAAUCGAAGCAGAAAACCACCGACGACCAUGAAGAAUCAAUCCGUCCCUGUGGUU
RNAcentral lists this long non-coding RNA (372 nucleotides) under Brassica napus (rape). RNAcentral describes it as "long non-coding RNA (BNAP_LNC022687)". The record is from RNAcentral. Lineage: Eukaryota; Viridiplantae; Streptophyta; Magnoliopsida; Brassicales; Brassicaceae.